RNAcentral lists this small nucleolar RNA (122 nucleotides) under Sorex araneus (European shrew). Lineage: Eukaryota; Metazoa; Chordata; Mammalia; Eulipotyphla; Soricidae. The record is from RNAcentral.
UUGUAAGCAUUUUACCUCAAUUAAAACAUUUUUUUAAAUCAGGUUUGCUAAAGUAACUGCAGUAAUAAAAAUGGGUUAACUUCAGAUUGUACUGAGGUUGCCUAUUCUAUCCUAGAGCAGGU